Molecule: long non-coding RNA, 403 nt
Filed under: Ananas comosus (pineapple)
Lineage: Eukaryota; Viridiplantae; Streptophyta; Magnoliopsida; Poales; Bromeliaceae
Description: long non-coding RNA (ACOM_LNC001581)
Source: RNAcentral
GAGACUCUAUGUCGUGUCAUAAGUCAUAGAGUUUGUAUUAGGAUGUAAAAAAUGUAAUUUUGUUUUUAUUGGAUCGAUCAUGUAGAAGGUUGUUGUUUGGUGAUUGCAAUAACCUUCUUAUUUUUGUUUUUGGAUAAGCAUUGUAAAGUUUUUCUUGUAUUUUGUCACAAAAUCGCCAAAGGGGGAGAUUGUUAAGGAUUUUAUAAGUUGGUGAAUUUCGUGAAAUAUUGAACGGAGUCUCGAAGAAUUAGAAGAUGAAGAUUGAAGAAAGAGUUGAAGUUUUGUGAUCAAGACCCUUUGGAUCUCAUGUAUGAUUAUAAAUAAUUUGUGGUGAAGUUUUUAUUGUUAAAAGAUGUUUAGAAGACUUGGUUUAUAUUUGAGUUGACUAAACUUAAGUUUUCUA